This 522-nucleotide long non-coding RNA is filed under the name Hordeum vulgare. RNAcentral describes it as "long non-coding RNA (HVUL_LNC005380)". The record is from RNAcentral. Lineage: Eukaryota; Viridiplantae; Streptophyta; Magnoliopsida; Poales; Poaceae.
UAUGAUUAACACAGCAUCCUUCCUAAUGAUUAUAUAUGCAUUUGCAUGUUUGUAUUUUUAUUUACACUCUUAAAUGGUUGUUUAAGUUUUUAAAGUUAGUGCGCUUGUAAAAUUCAGAACGAGUAGGGUGUUAAUUAUUUAUUUUGAUGAGAAGGCUCGUCAACGUUGCAGAUCGAGCUGUUUGGACAGAAGAUGCAACUUUGCAUAUGCUCACACAGCUGCAAAUGAAGGCAGCAUAUGCUAUAAGGUAUCUACACAUAAUGGAUUAAUGGCCUCCCGAUCUCCAAACUGUUACAACCUCAUUUGAUACCACCUCGCACUGAGCAACAGAUGAGGAAGAAGCAAAGAAGCUUCAAUUGGUGAUUUGUGAAUGAUGAACUGAGAUUUUAUCUGAGAUCAUCAUGAUCCAGCUAAAAAAGAUGAAGAUUUGCCCUGGCAAGGAAGAGAAGCAUCACAGGUGUUACUCCGCUAGUACAACAUAUGAUGCUCUAAAAAAAGUGUUAUCUUUUCUGUCCUGCAGGA